This 466-nucleotide ribosomal RNA is filed under the name uncultured bacterium. RNAcentral describes it as "partial 16S ribosomal RNA". It matches the Rfam family "Bacterial small subunit ribosomal RNA", at positions 27 to 507 of the family's 1533-position model. The record is from RNAcentral.
GGACGAACGCUGGCGGUGUGCUUAACACAUGCAAGUCGUACGGUAAGGCCCUUUCGGGGGUACACGAGUGGCGAACGGGUGAGUAACACGUGAGUAACCUGCCCACAACUUUGGGAUAACGCUAGGAAACUGGUGCUAAUACUGGAUAUGUGCUCCUGCUGCAUGGUGGGGGUUGGAAAGCUCCGGCGGUUGUGGAUGGACUCGCGGCCUAUCAGCUUGUUGGUGGGGUAGUGGCCUACCAAGGCGGCGACGGGUAGCCGGCCUGAGAGGGUGACCGGCCACAUUGGGACUGAGAUACGGCCCAGACUCCUACGGGAGGCAGCAGUGGGGAAUAUUGCACAAUGGGCGCAAGCCUGAUGCAGCAACGCCGCGUGCGGGAUGACGGCCUUCGGGUUGUAAACCGCUUUCAGCAGGGACGAAGCUUUUUGUGACGGUACCUGCAGAAGAAGCACCGGCUAACUACGUG